This 426-nucleotide ribosomal RNA is filed under the name uncultured bacterium. RNAcentral's name for it is "bacterial SSU rRNA". It matches the Rfam family "Bacterial small subunit ribosomal RNA", at positions 354 to 796 of the family's 1533-position model. The record is from RNAcentral.
GUGAGGAAUUUUCCGCAAUGGGCGAAAGACUGACGGAGCAAUGCCGCGUGAAGGAUGAAGGCCUAUGGGUUGUAAACUUCUUUUCUCAGAAAAGAAUUAUGACGGUAUCUGAGGAAUAAGCAUCGGCUAACUCUGUGCCAGCAGCCGCGGUAAGACAGAGGAUGCAAGCGUUAUCCGGAAUGAUUGGGCGUAAAGCGUCUUUAGGUUGUUUAAAAAGUAUUCUGUCAAAGAUUAGGGCUUAACCCUAGAUAGGCAGAAUAAACUUUUAAGCUAGAGUUUGGUAGAGGCAGAGGGAAUUCCCGGUGGAGCGGUGAAAUGCGUAGAUAUCGGGAGGAACACCAAAGGCGAAGGCACUCUGCUGGGCCAAUACUAACACUGAGAGACGAAAGCGAGGGGAGCAAAUGGGAUUAGAUACCUCAGUAGUCC